Molecule: long non-coding RNA, 353 nt
Organism: Saccostrea echinata
Lineage: Eukaryota; Metazoa; Mollusca; Bivalvia; Ostreida; Ostreidae
Exons: 3
Source: RefSeq, a predicted model, not a curated record
UUUUUAAUUUUUGUCCAUAAUGUAUUUCCAUACUUUAAAUAGUUAUAAGUAAGAGCGUUUGUAUAUAUUUAUUACACUAAGGCUUUUCCAUAGUGUGUCCCAUUAAGUCAAGCAUGCUAUUCAUGCAUGGGUGAACCCAGGUAUUUGAUUGGCUACUCUGGUGAGAAGCUCACUAUUGUAGUAAUUUUUUUAGACAUUCAAAAAAGAUCCUUAGAAUGAGCAGUGUAUUUUGUAUACCAGACCUUAUGGACUUUAUAUGGACAAUUUAAAUAUACUAAACAGUUAUGACUGACUGAGAAAUUAAGAAUCAAGAAGAUCAGGUUCAUAUACCAUAUAUUUGAACUACACAUAAC